Non-coding RNA from Heterocephalus glaber (naked mole-rat), 2559 nucleotides. The record is from RefSeq and is a predicted model, not a curated record. Lineage: Eukaryota; Metazoa; Chordata; Mammalia; Rodentia; Bathyergidae.
CCUCUAGGCUUCCGGGCGGUCUGCGCCUGCGUCCGCCCCGGGCGGUGGGACCCCGGUACGGCUUGGGCUGUCGGCGUGGUGUCCCUUCUGGGUCCGUGUGGUGGAACCCACCAGGGCCUCUCGAGCUUCUCCGCGCUUCCUAAAGGAUCGAGACUUUAAGUAUGAUUCUGCUGGUCCAAAAUCCAAAAUCAUCCCUUUUUUCCCCGAAAUCCUGCUCUUCCUCUUGCUUCCUUUUCUGCCUGUACACAUUCCUCGUUUAACAGCCUGCGAGCUGCUGCGACACACGAGGGUCUUUUUCUGUGUACAGUUCCGUACCUCUCAUUGAUAGGACCUCAGGGUCUGUUUGGUACAGUACAGCUUGUUUAUACAGCGCCGUAAUUUUUGCUGAUUGCACUGUACGCAAAGGCUUCCUUUCUCCUGGAUGGUGCAGGAAUAAAGCAAGAUGAGCUCCCCGACACUUAAUCUUCAGAAUUCUGAUGACCAGACAGACUUGAUGUUUAUAUGUCAAGCAAUCGCCCUGAAGACUGAAUUUUUUUCCCUCAAAAUGUGUCCACUGAGUGUCUGGAAUAUGUCAGGAGCCGGUGUGGUCAAGGCCAGCUGAUGAACAGGGUGGACAAACCCGGUGUUUCAGAGAGUGAGUUCAGUGUUCCCUGGCACCUGCUCCCUCGGGGCUCUUUCCAUCCGUCAGUGGCGUCACUGGACCACACACUGCUCAUUCUCCGGCUGCCCUUGCCCUUAUUUCCAAUUCAGCAAGCAAAGUGGGGUGGGACUAACACAUGGAAAGGUGUGGUCCUGCAGCCACUCUUAACGUUUCCAGCUCUCCAUCUAGCCUGUGCGUGAUCACCCUUCAAGAAGUGAAAAUAGUUUCGUGGGGGGUGGGAAGCUGUUUCUCUUUUAUACACAGAGCAGAGAUACGCAGAGCAUACAUACGCUGACCUCCUGUAUGCACGGUUGGCUGUGUUUUCUCCCCAGGACUCUGUGUGUGGAGGCCUAGUCCUCAGGGUGGCAGUGCUGGAAGACAGGACCAGGUGUGCGUCAUUAUGGAAUCGGGGACAUAGCCUUCAGGAGGGCUUGCUGGUCUCCUAGUGCUCCAAACAGCAAGUUGUUAUCAAAGCCUGAGCCUGGCCCAACUCGCUCUCUCUGGCUUCCUGUAUAAAAAUGUGACCUCCUGCUCCCCAACAGGCUCCUGCCAUUGCCACCUGCUACAGCUGAGAAAGCUUCCCCAGCACCCGGCCAAAGCCAGGCCUGCCCCGUGAGCCACCAGCACUGUGAGCGAGGGCCGGGCCACAGCUCCUUGGUAGAGCGUGCACUCAGCAUGUGCAAGGGCCUGGGUUCCACCCCAGCACCAAAACAGAACAGACGGGAGCACCAAGCCAGGCAUGGUGGGGCGAUCCUGUAUUCCAGCCCUUGGGAGGCGCAAGCGGGAGGAUUGUCCAAGCUUGAGGCCAGCUUGGGCUGCACAGUGAGUUCAAGGCCAGCCUAAACUGCAUAGUGACACCCUGUCUCAAAAAAAAGGAAAAAGGAGGAAACAUCAAGCCAAGGAAACCUCUUUUCUGUCUCUGUCAGCGGCCUCAUCUAUUUCAUUACGGUAAAGACCAACUGACUGAUCCACAGCACAUCUGCAGCAUUAAAAUGUCACAGGGAGCCUGCAGUUGGAAGAACACGUCUCACACACUCCAUAGAGGCAGUAACAAUAGCAAUAGAAAAGGUUGGGAAUCUCUGUCUAGUGGGAUAGCGGAACUCACUGCUGUGUCAGCUGGCUCCACAGGCCCCUAGGUGCGUCUCAGUCUGCCUCCUUACUCCUGUGUGCACCCUCUCACUGGAAAAGGCUGACAUACCUUCAGGGGGUGUUUUAGAAAUGACAGUGAUAUAAAGGGCUAAGUUAGGUAGAAAUAAUGUAGGCAGGCAGACAGGGCUGGGCCCUCAGAGUCAGUGCAGAGGAUGAGAACACAUCACAGCUGUGGCUGGAGGCGCAUCCAUUGCACAUUAGGCUUCAAGAUAAAGAUGAAAAAAAAAAGAUGAAAGACCCACAUACCUGUGAGGGAUAAACAAGAGUUUGAGUUCCACCCUUUUGAGAUCCACAAUAAACCAUUAUCUCAUUAAGGGUGGCCAUCUUUUCCUACCCACUAGACUAAGAUUGCUAAAUCAAAGACUAAAGCUAUGGAUUGUCAGGGCCGGGGAUUUAGCUCAGUGGUUUCACCACCUGCUGCACAAAUGCAAGGACCCGAGUUUGAUCCCCGGUACCAAAGAAAAAAAUGAAAAGGAUGCAUUCUGGAAUGAAGGUGAUGAUGAAAAAGAAAAAAAAAUUGUGCUAUGGAUUGUCUGUCAAGGCUAAUGAUGUCAUCCAUGUACAUUUGCUACAUGACUUAUUUCCCCAUUGGAUCAAUAUUACCUAAGCAACUAUAAUCCUGUAAUACUAUUGGUUGACCAUAGUGUGGUACCUACGCCUUGAUUUUGCUCUAUAAAACCUCCCCUGUAAGUGGAAUCCACAAACCUGCUUUCCAGGUCCCCUCCUAUCUCUCAGGAGCUCUCUCUCCCUCAAUAAAAUUCCCUACUCAA